GUGCGUUUUUCCCCCUGGGUGACACCCUCCCCACUCUGCUAUAUAAAGCCAUCAUACAGCAGACAAACUCUCACUGCUGUCAUGGCUCAGCGCAGCUCACUGGAUGAGUCUGUCGGCAUUCUCAGCAUCUCUGCAGGCUCUCUCCUGCUGCUGGUGAASAGCUAUGCCAGCACUCCUGAAAAAGACUUCAUCCCCCACACUGCGCUGGGGAUCUUACUCCUCAUCAUUGCUGCCCUGAUAGCUUACACAGGUGUCCGUCACAGUCUGUCCCACUCACGGCUGUUUUCCAC
This is a non-coding RNA of Poecilia reticulata (guppy), 290 nucleotides long. The record is from RefSeq and is a predicted model, not a curated record. NCBI's taxonomy places the organism in Eukaryota, Metazoa, Chordata, Actinopteri, Cyprinodontiformes, Poeciliidae.